This 152-nucleotide non-coding RNA is filed under the name uncultured Mucinivorans sp. The record is from RNAcentral. Lineage: Bacteria; Pseudomonadati; Bacteroidota; Bacteroidia; Bacteroidales; Rikenellaceae.
AUAUUUGGGAAUUAAAAGGGAAUGUAGUGUAAAUCUACAACAGUUCCCGCUGCUGUAAGUUUCUUUAAGAAUUUAAUGAAUCUAGCCACUGACACGUGUUGUCGGGAAGGCAUUUAAAUUUGAAACGAGUCAGAAGACCUGCCACUGUAAAC